Chlorocebus sabaeus (green monkey) is the source of this 283-nucleotide non-coding RNA. It matches the Rfam family "Metazoan signal recognition particle RNA". Rfam says of the family: The signal recognition particle (SRP) is a universally conserved ribonucleoprotein. The record is from Rfam. NCBI's taxonomy places the organism in Eukaryota, Metazoa, Chordata, Mammalia, Primates, Cercopithecidae.
AUCGAUGUGGUGGCACACACCUGUAGUCCCAGCUAUUCGGGAGGCUGAGGCAGGAUGAUAGCUUGAGUCGGUACAGGAGUUCCGGGCUGCAGCGCACUAUGCCGCCUAGGUGUCUGCACUAAGUUUGGCAUUAGUAUGGUGACUUCUGGGGAAUGGGGGACCACCAGGUUGCCUGAGGAGGGGUGAAUUGGCCCAGGUCAGAAAUGGAACAGGUCAAAAUUCCCUUGCCGAUCACACCUGUGGAAGGUUCCAGCCUGAGCAACAUAGCCAGACACCACCUUUU